RNAcentral lists this transfer RNA (17 nucleotides) under Calyptrochaeta apiculata. Its description in RNAcentral is "partial tRNA-Ser". The record is from RNAcentral. Lineage: Eukaryota; Viridiplantae; Streptophyta; Bryopsida; Hookeriales; Daltoniaceae.
CGAAAAGGAAAGAGAGG